UCCUCGGUGGCUCAGUUGGUUAGAGAGCUGGACUAGCGAUUCGGAGGUUGCGGGUUCGAGUCUCGCUCGAGAAG
Harmonia axyridis is the source of this 74-nucleotide non-coding RNA. NCBI's taxonomy places the organism in Eukaryota, Metazoa, Arthropoda, Insecta, Coleoptera, Coccinellidae. The record is from the annotation of a RefSeq genome assembly.